UACAGAGGGGGCAAGCGUUGUUCGGAAUUACUGGGCGUAAAGGGCGCGUAGGCGGCCUUCUAAGUCGAACGUGAAAUCCCUAGGCUCAACCUAGGAACUGCGUCCGAUACUGGGAGGCUUGAAUCCGGGAGAGGGAUGCGGAAUUCCAGGUGUAGCGGUGGAAUGCGUAGAUAUCUGGAGGAACACCGGUGGCGAAGGCGGCAUCCUGGACCGGUAUUGACGCUGAGGCGCGAAAGCCAGGGGAGCAAACGGG
This 253-nucleotide ribosomal RNA is filed under the name uncultured bacterium. Its description in RNAcentral is "partial 16S ribosomal RNA". It matches the Rfam family "Bacterial small subunit ribosomal RNA", at positions 524 to 776 of the family's 1533-position model. The record is from RNAcentral.